RNAcentral lists this non-coding RNA (28 nucleotides) under Mus musculus (house mouse). Lineage: Eukaryota; Metazoa; Chordata; Mammalia; Rodentia; Muridae. The record is from RNAcentral.
UGAGAGAGUCUCCCACAAAGGUGCCCAC